RNAcentral lists this ribosomal RNA (403 nucleotides) under Bacillota bacterium. RNAcentral's name for it is "Firmicutes bacterium partial 16S ribosomal RNA". It matches the Rfam family "Bacterial small subunit ribosomal RNA", at positions 355 to 776 of the family's 1533-position model. Lineage: Bacteria; Bacillati; Bacillota. The record is from RNAcentral.
UGGGGGAUAUUGCACAAUGGGGGAAACCCUGAUGCAGCGACGCCGCGUGAGGGAAGAAGGUUCUCGGAUUGUAAACCUCUGUCUUCGGUGACGAAAAUGACGGUAGCCGAGGAGGAAGCCACGGCUAACUACGUGCCAGCAGCCGCGGUAAUACGUAGGUGGCAAGCGUUGUCCGGAAUUACUGGGUGUAAAGGGAGCGUAGGCGGGAGAGCAAGUCGAUUGUCUAAACUAUGGGCUCAACCCAUAGUCGCGAUCGAAACUGUUUUUCUUGAGUGAAGUAGAGGUAAGCGGAAUUCCUAGUGUAGCGGUGAAAUGCGUAAAUAUUAGGAGGAACACCAGUGGCGAAGGCGGCUUACUGGGCUUUAACUGACGCUGAGGCUCGAAAGCGUGGGUAGCAAACAGG